Molecule: ribosomal RNA, 484 nt
Filed under: uncultured bacterium
Lineage: Bacteria
Description: partial 16S ribosomal RNA
Rfam family: Bacterial small subunit ribosomal RNA
Source: RNAcentral
AUUGAACGCUGGCGGCAUGCUUUACACAUGCAAGUCGAACGGCAGCGCGGGCUUCGUCCUGGCGGCGCGUGGCGAACGGGUGCGUAAUGCAUCGGAACGUGCCCAGUAGUGGGGGAUAGCCCGGCGAAAGCCGGAUUAAUACCGCAUACGACCUGAGGGUGAAAGCGGGGGACCGAAAGGCCUCGCGCUAUUGGAGCGGCCGAUGUCGGAUUAGCUAGUUGGUGGGGUAAAGGCUUACCAAGGCGACGAUCCGUAGCUGGUCUGAGAGGACGACCAGCCACACUGGGACUGAGACACGGCCCAGACUCCUACGGGAGGCAGCAGUGGGGAAUAUUGGACAAUGGGGGCAACCCUGAUCCAGCCAUGCCGCGUGCGGGAAGAAGGCCUUCGGGUUGUAAACCGCUUUUGUUCGGGAAGAAAUCCUCUGGGCUAAUACCCCGGGGGGAUGACGGUACCGGAAGAAUAAGCACCGGCUAACUACGUG